Molecule: ribosomal RNA, 255 nt
Filed under: uncultured bacterium
Lineage: Bacteria
Description: partial 16S ribosomal RNA
Rfam family: Bacterial small subunit ribosomal RNA
Source: RNAcentral
UACGGUAGGGGGCAAGCGUUGUCCGGAAUCAUUGGGCGUAAAGCGCGUGUAGGCGGCCAGAAAAGUCCGCUGUGAAAACUCGAGGCUCAACUUCGAGCUGUCGGUGGAAACUUUCUGGCUAGAGUCCGGAAGAGGAGAAUGGAAUUCCUGGUGUAGCGGUGAAAUGCGCAGAUAUCAGGAAGAACACCCGUGGCGAAGGCGGUUCUCUGGGACGGUACUGACGCUGGAGACGCGAAAGCGUGGGGAGCGAACAGG